RNAcentral lists this ribosomal RNA (440 nucleotides) under uncultured bacterium. RNAcentral's name for it is "bacterial SSU rRNA". It matches the Rfam family "Bacterial small subunit ribosomal RNA", at positions 338 to 795 of the family's 1533-position model. The record is from RNAcentral.
CCUACGGGUGGCUGCAGUAGGGAAUAUUGGACAAUGGGCGAAAGCCUGAUCCAGCAAUGCCGCGUGAGUGAUGAAGGCCUUAGGGUUGUAAAGCUCUUUUACCCGGGAUGAUAAUGACAGUACCGGGAGAAUAAGCUCCGGCUAACUCCGUGCCAGCAGCCGCGGUAAUACGGAGGGAGCUAGCGUUGUUCGGAAUUACUGGGCGUAAAGCGCACGUAGGCGGCUAUUCAAGUCAGAGGUGAAAGCCCGGGGCUCAACCCCGGAACUGCCUUUGAAACUAGAUAGCUUGAAUCCAGGAGAGGUGAGUGGAAUUCCGAGUGUAGAGGUGAAAUUCGUAGAUAUUCGGAAGAACACCAGUGGCGAAGGCGGCUCACUGGACUGGUAUUGACGCUGAGGUGCGAAAGCGUGGGGAGCAAACAGGAUUAGAUACCCGAGUAGUC